GUUUCCCUGGGCUCAGCGGUGCCUGUGCUCUAGCGCAGAGACGCGGGUGAGAGCCUCACUUCCCACAGGCCCUCGGCACGGGGGCGGGGCUCCGGCGGAGGCGGUGAUUGUGGCGGCUCAUUUGUAAAUGCUGCGGAGAUUCAGGCGUCGGUUCAUGCUACUGAGCGGCGCGGCCUUCACGGAGCGGUAUUGGAAAUCAGUAGUUCUUCUAGCCUUUGCAUUGUUUAAAUAUAGUGUCAUUGGACUAAGAUGUUCCUGAUGCCAACCUCUUCAGAGUUAAACAGUGGGCAGAACUUCCUAACCCAGUGGAUGACCAAUCCUUCUCGGGCCGGGGUCAUAUUAAAUCGUGGAUUUCCUGUUUUGGAAGCAGACAAAGAGAAGCAAGCAGCUGUGGACACUUCUACCAGCUUUCCUGUUAAAGGCACACAUUGUUCUGACAGCUUCAGCUUUAUAAAUGAAGAAGAUUCACUUCAUGAAGAACAGGAGUUGGAGUCAAACAGGCCUUACAAACCACAGUCAGAUAAAUCUGAAACCCAUACAGGCUUUCCUCGCAUUACAAAGGGACCACAGAUAGUGGCAUGUCACGACGCUCCUGGACACCAGGAAGAGAACAAAAAUGACUUCAUCCCAGAUCUUGCGAGUGAAUUCAAAGAAGGGGCUUAUAAAGACCCACUUUUUAAAAAACUUGAACAGCUGAAAGAAGUACAACAGAAGAAGCAGGAACAAUUGAAGAGGCAACAGAUGGAGCAACUCCAGAGACUCAUGGAAGAACAAGAGAAGCUGCUCACCAUGGUGUCUGGGCAGUGCACACUUCCAGGUUUGAGUGUACUGCCUGAUGAUCAGAGCCAGAAGCACAGAUCUCCAGGAAAUGCCACCACUGGAGAGAGAGCCACACGCUGCCUCCCAUCGUAUGUCUACCCAGACCCAACCCAGGAAGAAACAUGCGCUUCCAACAUUUUAUCCCAUGAGCAAAGCAACUUCUGUAGAACUGCUCAUGGAGAUUUUGUCUUAACUUCAAAACGUGCUUCUCCUAAUUUAUUUUCUGAGGCACAGUGUCAAGAAGCACCUGUGGAAAAAAGUAAUUUAAAAGAAGAAAACCGUAACCAUCCUACAGGAGAAAGUAUUUUAUGUUGGGAGAAAAUGACAGAACAAAUUCAGGAAGCUAAUGUUCAGAACUUAAAAAAACAUGAUGAUUCCUCAGAAGUGGCUAAUAUUGAAGAAAGGCCCAUUAAAGCUGCUAUUAGAGAAAGGAAGCAGACCUUUGAAGACUACUUAGAAGAACAAAUUCGGUUGGAAGAGCAAGAACUGAAGCAAAAACAGCUGAGGGAAGCAGAAGGACCACUGCCAAUCAAAGCAAAACCAAAGAAACCAUUUUUAAAACGAGGAGAAGGUUUAGCCAGAUUUACUAAUGCUAAAUCUAAGUUUCAAAAAGGGAAAGAAAGUAAACUAGUGACUAACCAGAGCCCUUCCGAGGACCAGCCGCUAUUUAAAAUGGAUAGACAGCAACUCCAGCGGAAAACCGCUCUCAUAAAUAAGGAGCCGUGUGCAGACCACCCUGCCCUGAGAAAGGAGAGUAAAGCUGGAACCAAGAGUGGUUCUGUCGCCCUCAGUCAGAAGCCGAAAGUGCUGAAGUGUAGUGACAGGAAAACUCUUUCUCCAUCAGGACUGAAAAUACACACAGGGAAGAAAUGCGACGGGCAAUGUAGAGACCAGAUCAAAUUUGAUAAAAGAGUCGCAUCUAAUAAUAAAGAAAAUGUGCCUGAGAGUCGAAAACCUUGCGAGGCUGGCUGCACAGGGUGGAAUAAGACGCCAGGUAAAGACGGACCUCCUCUUUCAGCGGGGCCGGCCAGCCGCCUGGCUUCCAAGAGCCCCAUGAGGGAGACCAUGAAAGAGUCUGAAUCUUCUCUUGAUGUUUCUCUUCAGAAAACGUUAGAGACUUGGGAACGAGAAAAGGAAAAGGAAAAUUUGGAAUUAGAUGAAUUUUUGUUUUUAGAACAAGCUGCUGAUGAAAUAUCAUUUUCUAGUAAUUCCUCAUUUGUACUGAAAAUCUUAGAAAGGGAUCAACAGAUCUGCAAAGGUCACCGGAUGUCUUCCACCCCUGUCAAAGCUGCGCCACAGAAGACAAAUCCGGCAGAUCCCGUUAGUCAGUGUAGCCGCGGUGAGGGUUUGGACCACACUGCACGUGAGAAGGACGGUGAGUGUGAAGUCACACCCAAACAACUCCGUUCACUGUCCUCAGAUGAUGAAUCGAGGGAACAGCCUUGUAAAAUCAGUAGGAAAGCCGUCCAAAAGAGCACUUCUGAAAAUCAAACGGAAUGGAAUGCAGGUGACGAUGAAGGUGUUCUGAACAGUGACAGUAGCAGUGACUCUGAGGAACAGCUUGAUAUUACCAUAAAACCCUCAACUGAGGAUAGAGAAAGGGGCUUCAGCAGCAGAGAGGACAGCCCACACGUCUGUGAUGGUAAGGGGCCUUUUAAGGACACCGGGGCCCAAGAAGAUAAAAGGAGAGACGUCGAUCUGGAUUUGUCUGAUAAAGAUGACGGUAGCGAUGAGUCUGUCCUAGAAAGCGUAAAACACAAAGCGUCUGAGCCCGCAAGACCCUCACCCCUAAGUAUGAGUAAAAUGGACUUUGACGACGAGAGAACUUGGACUGACCUUGAAGAGAACAUGUGUAAUCAUGACGUUACUCUGGGGAAUGAGUCCACUUACGGGACGCCGCAGACAUGCUACCCUAAUAAUGAAAUAGGUGUCCUGGACAAAACAAUAAAAAGGAAGAUUGCACCAGUCAAGAGGGGAGAAGACUUGAGCAAGUCCAGGAGGAGCGGAAGUCCUCCUCCUACGUCGCAGCUGAUGAUGAAAUUCUUUCCUGCUUUGAAACCAAAACCGAAGUCAGAUUCACACUUGGGAACUGAACCCAAGUUAAACAUAAGUCAAGACCAACCACCUGGUGACAAUGCUCGAUCCCACGUUUUGAGAGAGAAAAUUAUUGAAUUGGAAACAGAAAUAGAAAAGUUUAAAGCCGAGAACGCAUCUUUAGCUAAACUUCGCAUUGAACGAGAAAGUGCCUUGGAAAAACUCAGGAAAGAAAUUGCAGACUUUGAACAACAGAAAGCAAAAGAAUUAGCUCGAAUAGAAGAGUUUAAAAAGGAGGAAAUGAGGAAGCUACAAAAGGAACGUAAAGUUUUUGAAAAGUAUUCUACAGCUGCAAGAACUUUUCCAGAUAAAAAGGAACGUGAAGAAAUACAGACUUUAAAACAGCAAAUAGCAGAUUUACGGGAAGAUUUGAAAAGAAAGGAAACCAAAUGGUCAAGUACACACGGCCGUCUCAGAAGCCAGAUAGAAAUGUUAGUCAGAGAGAACACAGACCUCAGGGAAGAAAUAAAAGUGAUGGAACGAUUCCGACUGGAUGCCUGGAAAAGAGCAGAAGCCGUAGAGCGCAGCCUUGAGGUGGAGAAGAAGGACAAGCUCGCGAACACAUCUGUUCGAUUUCAAAACAAUCAGAUGUCUUCAGGAACCCAGGUAGAAAAAUACAAGAAAAAUUAUCUUCCAAUGCAAGGCACAGCACAGCCGCCUCACACGCCCGGCAGCUUGUUGGCUGACCGCCUGCCUUCGCUCUCCUCCUUCAGGCCAUUCUCCUGUAACAUCCAGCUCCGUUACACUUUUUAACAUGUAGGCAAUCCACCUCGAAGAUCCAAGUCUGCACCUCCUCGUGAUUUAGGCAAUUCGGAUAAGGGACAAGCUGCCUCUCCCAGGGAGCCACUUGAACCACUGAACUUCCCAGAUUCUGAAUAUAAAGAGGAAGAGGAAGACCACAACAUACAGGGAGAAAUCAGUCAUCCUGAUGGAAAGGUGGAAAAGGUUUAUAAGAAUGGGUGUCGUGUUAUACUGUUUCCCAAUGGAACUCGGAAGGAAGUGAGUGCAGAUGGGAAGACCAUCACCGUCACUUUCUUUAAUGGUGACGUGAAGCAGGUCAUGCCAGACCAGAGAGUGAUCUACUACUACGCAGCUGCCCAGACCACUCACACGACGUACCCGGAGGGACUGGAAGUCUUACAUUUCUCAAGUGGACAAAUAGAAAAGCAUUUCCCAGAUGGAAGAAAAGAAAUCACGUUUCCUGACCAGACUGUUAAAAACUUAUUUCCUGAUGGACAAGAAGAAAGCAUUUUCCCAGAUGGUACAAUUGUCAGAGUACAACGUGAUGGCAACAAACUCAUAGAGUUUAAUAAUGGCCAAAGAGAACUACAUACUGCCCAGUUCAAGAGACGGGAAUACCCAGAUGGCACUGUUAAAACCGUAUAUGCAAACGGUCAUCAAGAAACGAAGUACAGAUCUGGUCGGAUAAGAGUUAAGGACAAGGAGGGUAAUGUGCUAAUGGACACGGAGCUGUGACGAUCCCUGUGUGAUCAUGAAGUAACAGUAACUGAUUUUUCUUGUUAAAAAAAUGUACAUUUAUUGUGGAUUCUGUUUAAUUUAUUGUGUAUGUGUGGGGAAAAGAUUGGAUUCUAAAAUAAAUGUUUAUCCUGUGGCAUCUUCCUUUUUAUAUUCUUUGAAAUGCAAUGAUAGCUCUCAUUUAUAAUUCACCUACCCUGCCUUUCAACAGAGUAAGGAAAGCAUUUUUACUCUUUAGAAACUGUACAGGUUUUUACAAUAAGUGGGUGUGUUUAUUGGUUAGAAAUGGCUAUAAAAACCAAGAAGUACAGGAAGUACAUUACAUAGAUGUCCCACAGGCACAUCAGCCAUAGAGCACUGGACUUGCACAGAAAGUGUACUCAAGGAGUAAACACGUCUCUGUAGCCAAAAUAUUACUAUGUUCAGUUACUACCAAAAUUAAAGCAUUUGAGCUACUACAGAGGUUCAUUCAUUAUAAUAGAAUGGGGAGUUACAACAGUGGAUGAAUAUAAAUAGGUCACAUACAACCAGUAGUAAUCAUAGUGAGGAGAAAAGUUAUAACAAGGCAGACACUGUAAUGUCUCAAAAUGGGACACCUGAGAGGAGAAGGGGCGUGAACGAUGAGUAGCCGGUGUUAACCCAUGGACCACCACUACCUUCCAUCUUACCACAGUGACAUUACUGUAGCCUCAUGGAGGCAAGAUGUCCCUGAAGGAUGGGCAAGUCACCUACUUGUAAAUUUAUAUAAUAAUUACAGAUUGGUCUAGAUAGACCUUACCUGUCACAUACACCAUGAAUCAGGUUUUGUUAAUGAAAUCUAUCAAUUCCAGGUGACUUAACAAUAUGAAAAAUAAAACUUUUCAAAGAA
Molecule: RNA transcript, 5257 nt
Organism: Mandrillus leucophaeus (drill)
Lineage: Eukaryota; Metazoa; Chordata; Mammalia; Primates; Cercopithecidae
Gene: CPAP
Gene name: centromere protein J
Exons: 18
Source: RefSeq, a predicted model, not a curated record